GUCCAGACGGCUGAGGACUGGGAAGAAGUGAAGAAGAGCCCUGAGGGGAGGCAAACCUCAAAUAAAAUAAGACACAGGAAGUUUCUGACAUUUGCUCAAUGGAAGACAAGAUUCAGAAGUCUUGGAUUGACCAUUUGAAAAGAAUUCAACAGAAAUCAUCAUAAUCGAAAAGAAAGUUCCCUAAUGCUCUCUUUGGCAUUAAAGGGAUAGUUCAUUGAGUGGGGUUGUAUGUGGUACUUAUGCAUAGUUAUUAUGUUACCUUAUGGAGAUGGUGAUCAGCGAUGUCAUUUAACGAAGUUUGCAGGUGAAGUGGAAGAAGCGAAAGGCGGAGUCCCACUGUUGUCGAGGGGCCAAUCGAAAAACGUCUUUUUCCGCACAUUUUUAAAUGCUUACCUUAAAAAAAAAUGUAUCCGUUCAAUUGUAUGCUUGAGUUCCCGGCCAUUUAUUACUGCGCCAACUCGCUCUGCACUGGCGCGAGUUGGCGCAGUAAUACAUGGCCGAAGUACCCUUAAAAAAAAAGUGCAAACCAAAACGUCUGUCUGCCGGGAAACUAAAGCAGUGAAAAAAUGUUUUUACUUAAGCGUACAAUUGAACGGAUAUAUUUUUUUUAGGUAGGCAUUUAUAAAUUAGCGGUGGUCCCCUCUGCAACAGUGGGACUCAGACUAUGGCUUCUUCCACUUCACCUCUAAACUCCGUUAGAUGACAGCACUGAUCACCAUCUCCAUAAGGUAACAUAUUAACUAUGCAUAAGUAACUCAUUUAACCCCUCUUCAAAAUCACUCAAAAAGCAAGGUAGGCACUCGCCUACUGUGCUGCGAAUGGUUCAGGCCCUCCUAUUUUUUUAAAUAUAGCACCUUCUUUUACUUUAUUACUAAUAGCACUUGAAGCUUUCUUUGCCUAUUUCAUGAAUGUUUAUGCACUUUGUUAACUUUUGCAGUUUGAGUAAUAUCCCCAUGUUCGAAUGCACUUAUUGUAAGUCGCUUUGGACCAAAGCGUCUGCUAAAUGAAUGUUAUGUAAUGUAAUGUAAUCCCUUUAAAUAUUUACUUAUGUUCCCUUUCUACCCUGUUUAUAUACAGUCUAUGCUUCUACCACAUACUAAGUACCACACACCGUCUACAUCAUAUGUGUACUGCUUACACUAUAGUGCUCUGCUGGAUUCAUGUUCUUAUGAAUUAUUUGACAAAAUGUUAACAGAAAAAUAAAGUCUUUAAAGUUUA
This is a long non-coding RNA of Scophthalmus maximus (turbot), 1218 nucleotides long. RefSeq lists it as uncharacterized. NCBI's taxonomy places the organism in Eukaryota, Metazoa, Chordata, Actinopteri, Pleuronectiformes, Scophthalmidae. The transcript is spliced from 2 exons. The record is from RefSeq and is a predicted model, not a curated record.